GACGAACGCUGGCGGCGUGCUUAACACAUGCAAGUCGUGCGGUAAGGCCCUUUCGGGGGUUCGCGUGUGGCGAACGGGUGAGUAACACGUGAAUAACCCUCCCACAACGUGGGGAUAACGCUAGGAAACUGGUGCUUAAACUCGCUAUCUGCUCGUGCGGCAUGGUGGGGGUUGGUCAGCCCCGGCGCUUGUGGAUGGACUCGCGGCGUAUCAGCUUGUUGGUGGGGUAGUGGCCUACCAAGGCGGCGACGGGUAGCCGGCCUGAGAGGGUGACCGGCCACAUUGGGACUGAGAUACGGCCCAGACUCCUACGGGAGGCAGCAGUGGGGAAUAUUGCACAAUGGGCGCAAGCCUGAUGCAGCAACGCCGCGUGCGGGAUGACGGCCUUCGGGUUGUAAACCGCUUUCAGCAGGGACGAAGCUUUUUGUGACGGUACCUGCAGAAGAAGCACCGGCUAACUACGUG
This 465-nucleotide ribosomal RNA is filed under the name uncultured bacterium. RNAcentral describes it as "partial 16S ribosomal RNA". It matches the Rfam family "Bacterial small subunit ribosomal RNA", at positions 28 to 507 of the family's 1533-position model. The record is from RNAcentral.